RNAcentral lists this long non-coding RNA (6068 nucleotides) under Homo sapiens (human). Its description in RNAcentral is "HSALNT0396012". The stretch from base 1614 to 1761 matches the Rfam family "Metazoan signal recognition particle RNA". The record is from RNAcentral. Lineage: Eukaryota; Metazoa; Chordata; Mammalia; Primates; Hominidae.
GGGCAGCCCAUCGCCCACGCUGACCGUGAGGGUCCGACCGCCAACCUUGAGCACUGCCAAGUCGCCGAAGCCGCGGGAGAAGGUGACGCUGCGGGUGCCGCCACCGCCCCAGCCCUCCUUCUUCACCCGAAACUGUAGUCUAUGGGGAGAGAAGAAAGCUUGGGGGCGCUGGCUGAGGUCCCCCGCCCCACCCAACUCUCGCUGGUUGGGGCAGGGGCGGGGCCGCGGCCGGGGCCGAAGCGCAGUUCGGCCGGGUCGGUGGGGCGGGAGAGGGUGCGCCGCGCCGAGACCACCCCGAGAUGGUGCUGGGGUUGGCGGGGCCGUACGUGUCGCUGAAGGUGAGGGGCAGGGGCCUCCGCGUCGCCUCCUCGAAGCGCUUGCACAGAAGGCUGACAAACUCGGUCUUGAAGACGCUCUCCAGGAAGCUGUCGGCGGCAUCCUCUUGGAGGAUGAAGAAGUCGUCCUGUCGCGUGCUGGGGAGGGGCGGGUGAGAGCGUCAGGUGGGACACAGGUGAGGGCGACAGGUGAGAGAGACAGAUGAAGGUGGCUGAAGGUGGAUUUAGGGAAGGGUCAGCUAAGGGCCAAGUCAGCGGUGACCAGGUAGGAGAAAAAGGGGGAUGUGGCAAGGAGUGGAAGAGGUGGUUACAGAAGAGGGCCAGGUGAGGUCUAGUAAGAGGGUAAGGUGCAGGACGGAAGGAUUUGGCAUCUAAGGAUCAUGAGCAUAGGGGGCAGGUGAACAUGACAGGUGGGGCCAACAGAGGGCUACAGGCAUGGCACCAGGUAAGAUUGUCAGGGUAACAGACGGGGUCACUAGAAUGAGGGCAGCCAGGGGACAGGUGAGAGUGACUGUGCGGCAGGUAAGGACCUGGCUUCACCUGAGGGAGACUCCCCGCAGAGCCUGGAUGUCCACUUUCUUCUUCAAGACUUCACACACCUGGCCCUUCUCAGGUCCCUUCUUCACUUUCUCUCGCCCAAUCACAUACACACACUUGGGCGUCAGGAUCAAGUCCCGCUUGAUGGGCUGUGGGGAUGCAGGAUUAGAGGCUGAUGCCUGUAGCCUGGCCAGCCUGGCCACAGAGGAUCCACCCCAGGCAGAGGGGUGGUGCUGGCAGGUCAGGUGAGGAAGGUGGGAGCCCUCCAGGUGAAGGUGUAUGAGUCGUCUGUUUUGUAGACAGGGUCUCACUCUGUCGCUCAGGCUGGAGUGCAGUGGUGCCAUCAUAGCUCACUGCAACCUCCCCCUCCUGGGCUUGAGUGAUCCACCUGCCUCAGCCUCCUGAGUAGCUGGGACCACAGGUGCGCACCACCAUGCCCAGCUAAUUUUGGUAUUUUUUGUAGAUUCAGGGUUUUGCCCUGUUGCCCAGGCUGGUCUUGAGCUCCUGAUCUCAAGCAAACUGUCCUCCUUGGCCUCCCAAAGGGUUGGGAUUACAGGUGUGCGCCACCACGCCUGGCCAUGAGUUGUUAUAUAAGAAACAGAAGGAGGGCUGGGUGCCAUGGCUCACGCCUGUAAUCCCAGCAUUUUGGGAGGCCGAGGCGGGCAGAUCAUGAGGUCAGGAGUUUGAAACCAGGCUGACCAACAUGGUGAAACCCCGUCUCUACUAAAAAUACAAAAAUUAGCUGGGCGAGGUGGUGGGCACCUGUAGUCCCAGCUACUCAGGAGGCUGAGACAGGAGAAUCGCUUGAACCCAGGAGGAUGAGGUUGCAGUGAGCCGAGAUCCUGCCACUGCACUCCAGCCUGGGUGACAGAGCAAGACCCUGUCUCAAAAACAAACAAACAAAAAAUAACAGAUCAGGCGCGGUGGCACACGCCUGUAAUCCCAGCACUUUGGGAGGCUGAGGUGGGUGGAUCACAAGGUCAGAAGAUUGAGACCAUCCUGGCUAAUACCAUGAAACCCCAUCUCUACUAAAAAUACAAAAAACUAGCUGGGCGUGGUGGCACAUGCCUGUAGUCCCAGCUACUCGGGAGGCUGAGGCAGGAGAAUUGCUUGAGCCUGGGAGGCAGAGGUUGCAGUGAGCCGAGGUUGUGCCACUGCACUCCAGCCUGGGCGACAUAACAAGAUUCUGACUCAACACACACACACAAAAGAGCAAAACUCUGUCUCAAAAAAACAAAAAAGAAAAACAAAAAAGAAACGAGGUCAGAUGGGAAUGUGUUGGUUGGUUGGUUGGCUAGAAAAGGGUGUUUGGGUCAGUGAACAGGUGCUGGGUAGGUAAGGCACCUGCUGGACAUGGGUUCCCGGGCCAGAUGAGAACACUUAGACCAGGUGAAAGUACUUGGGUCAUGUGACUGUAGCCAGCUCAGGUAAAGGUAUUAUGGUUCAGGUGAGGGUGUACAAGUCAGGUAAAUAGGAGUAUCUGGAUCAUGAGAGGAAGUGAGCGGGUGUGUAUCUGAACUCUAUGAGUUUGUACAGGAAGGCAGGUGAGGGUGUACCUGGUAGAAGGGUGAAUGUGCAAGCCGGUUGAGCUGGCCUGCGGUCAGAGUUCUCUGGGUCUAGUGGGGAUACCUGUCUCAGUGAAAACAUUUAAGGUGAUGGUAUACAGGUCACCUGAGAGGGCAUACCUGCCACACAGACCUGUCCAAAGCAGGUGGGUGGAUCAGGUGAAGGUACCCAAUAAUGUGUGUCUGGUAUGUGAAGUUGUACAGAUCAUGUGAGGAGGCACCUGCCACAUAAACUUGUCCAAGGUAGGUGAGGGUGUCCAGGCCAUAUGAGACUAUCCAUCCAGGUAAAGAUGGUAUAUAGGUGAUCUCAGUGUGUACCUGCCACACAUAGGCCUCUCUAAGGUGAGGGUAGGGUGAGUUACUGGGCUAGGUGACUCUCUGGGACAUGAGAUAUGGGUCAAGUGAGUGUGUACCUGGCCCGCCCAGGUACAGGUGACGGUAAACAGGCCAAGUCUGGGUGUACCUGUGGACAGGAGAGUCCAGGCUAGGUGAUUAGAGUACACGUAGGUUCAGGGCUGUCUGGGGCAGAAGAGGAUGUGUCUGUUGGUGGAGGUGCCCAGCUGUCUAUGCCAAGCAUGAAUGCACGGGUCAGGUGAUGUAUCCCUGUAGAGAGCAUGUACCUAUGGACUAGGCUGCCUGGGCCAGGUGAGAGUGUACCUGUGGACAGGUGUGUCUGGGCCAGGUGAAGGUAUAUCUAAUUUCCAGGUUGAAGGUAGAGUGUACCUAAUGGAUGGGUGUGUCUAGGAUAGGCAAGGGUGGCCUCGUGGUUGGGGCUUCUAGACAAGGUGAAUGAAUGUGUGAUUGUUGAGAGAUGCAUCUGGCCAGGUGAGGGUGUAUCUGACAGGUGUGUCUGGGCUACAAGUGCAUGUUUGAUGGACAGCUGUGUCUGCUAUACUUGAGUGUAUACCUGUGGGCAGGUGUGUCUGUGCCGGGUAAUGAUGUACCUGUGAUGGAACAGAUUGAUCUAGGCUGGGGGAUAGAUACCUGUGGGCAGGUGUGCCUGGGCUAGGUGAGGAUAUACCUGUGAUGGAACAGAUGGAUCUAGGCUGGGGGAUAGAUACCUAUGGACAGGUGUGUCUGUGCCAGGUGAGGGUAUACCUGUGAUGGAACAGAUGGAUCUAGGCUGGGGGAUCUAUGCCUGUGGGCAGGUGCAUAUGGGCCAGGUGAGGGUGUACCUGUGAUGGAACAGAUGGAUCUAGGCUGGGGGAUAUCUGGCUGUGGGCAGGUGCAUCUGGGCCAGGUGAGGGUGCCAGGCUGUAGUCAGGGUCUUGCUGUGCCCACCCACUAGUGCCUCACCUUGAAGCGGCGGUCGUACUUGGUGACCGAAUCGGCGAAGUCCACCCGCUCCCUCUUGCCCAGGAACUGACGCAGCUCGGGCCGCUCCUCCAGCCCCAGGUAGUCCCCGACGAAGUUCCGAUUGAUGCUGUUGCGCCUCCGCUCCUUCUUGUUCAGCAGGAUGUUGGAAGCUGCGGGGACAGAGGGUGGAGGGCAGAGCUCCUGAUACAGCUCCUCCAGGUCCUUGUGCCCCCACCCCGCGCCGUUUACCCGAAGCCUCUCACCUUCCUCCCGCAUCUCCUCGUACUUCCGGACAGCCACGUGGCGCCGCCAGGCCUUCUGGAUGGUUCGGGCAAAGCCAUCGAACUUUCGCUCUCGCACCUCCUCCAGGAGGAAAAGCUGGGCGGGGGUCGUGGGGGGCAAGGGUGAGUCCUGGUGUCUCCCCAGGGGCUGCAGUUCCGGGUUUUCCCUGCGCUCACCCUACUCACACGCUUUUGCUCACCCAUCCCCACACAUGUGCUAAUUUUUUUAAGAGGCGGGGUCUUUCUAGUGACACUCGUUCAUAAAGAAAAGAAGAAAAAGGGGCCGGGCGCAGUGGCUCACGCCUGUAAUCCUAGCACUUCGGGAGGCCGAGGCGGGUGGAUCACCUGAGGUCAGGAGUUUGAGACGAGCCUGACCGACAUAGUGAAACCCCAUCUCUACUAAAAAUACAAAAAGAAAUUAGCUGGGCAUGGUGGUAGAUGCCUGUGAUCCCAGCUACUCGGGAGCCUGAGGCAGGAGAAUCACUUGAACCCGGGAGGCGGAGGUUGCAGUGAGCUGAGAUCGCGCCAUUGCACUCCAGCCUGGACAACAAGAGUGAAACUCCAUCUCAAAAAGACAAAAAACAAAAACAAAAAAAGCUGGUGGCUCAUGCCUAUAAUCCCAGCGCCUUGGGAGGCUGAGGCGGGAAGAUCGCCUGAGGUCGGGAGUUUGAGACCAGCCUGAUCAACAUGGAGAAACCCUGUCUUUACUAAAAACAUAAAAUUAGCCGGGCAUGGUGGCACAUGCCUGUAAUACCAGCUACUCAGGAGGCUGAGGCAGGAGAAUCACUUGAACCUGGGAGUUGGAGGUUGCGGUGAGCUGAGAUUGUGCCAUUGCACUCCAGCCUGGGCAACAAGAGCAAAACUUCAUCUCAAAAAAAGAAAAAAAGAAAAAGACAGGGUCUCGCUCCGUCGCCCAGACUGGAGUGUGGUGGUGCAGUCAUAGCUCACUGCAGCUUCAACCUCUUGGGUUCAAGUGAUCCUCCCACCUCUGCCUCCUGAGUAGCUGGGACUACAGCUGUGAGCCACCAUGCCCAGCUAAUUUUGUGGUGAUGUGGUCUUGCCAUGUUGCCCAGGCUGGAAAAAUUUUUAUCUUCCUCCAAAUGACUGGACCUCCCUGUGCGUCUCUCCCCAUGUGGGGUACACACUUCUGCCUUACAUGAUAACAGUGAGUCACUAGCUUCAGAUCACAGCUGUGCCACUUACUACCUGUGUGCUUUUGCAAGAAACGGUAUGAUGUCACGGUUUCUUACACUGUUACUCGACACUAUCCACGAGGUACACUGCCGUGUCAGAGAUGGUAGAAAUAGGAACCAGUGUGCAUCUUGGAAAACCAAUAAAAUACAGUAAAUAUGAAAAUGUGGCCGGGUGCAGUGGCUCAAGCCUGUAAUCCCAGCAUUUUGGGAGGCCGAGGUGGGCGGAUCACCUGAGGUCAAGAGUUUGAGACCAGCCUGGCCAACAUGGUGAAACCCCGUCUCUACUAAUAAUACAAAAGUUAGCCGGGUGUGGUGGCGCAUGCCUGUCAUCCCAGCUACUCGGGAGGCUGAGGCAGGAGAAUCGCUUGAACUCGGGAGGUGGUGGUUGCAGUGAGCGGAGAUUGCGCCACUGCACUCCAGCCUGGGCGACAGAGUGAGACUCAGUCCCCCGACCCCUGAAAAAAGAAAAGAAUGAAACUCCAUCUCAAAAAAAAAAAGAAAGAAAAAGAAAAUCUGAUGUGUAGAACUGUGAUGUGACUAGCAACCGUGUGGUUGGGCAGUGUACAACCUGCACAGCCAUCCGUAGCAGGCCCAGAAAGGAAGCUUUUGCAGAAAGCAGAGAAAAGGGUUUUGAGUUGUAAAAGUCUAGACCCAGAGGGGACUUAGAGAAUGAAUUACAUUACAGCAAGUCAAAGUACAAAGUCUAAGAGGAAUGUCUACUCAUUUGUAAUAACAGCAGGUGAACAAGGUGAGGAACCUACUGGAUAUUAAAAUACUGUAAAUCUAUAGUAAUAAAAACAAUAGCAUGCCUGUCAGAGAAUAGAAUGAUUAACUGGAAUAGGGCAGAUGCUUGAGAAACAU